GUGAAUCAUCGAAUCUUUGAACGCACCUUGCGCUCCAUGGUAUUCCGUGGAGCAUGCCUGUUUGAGUGCCGCGAAUUCUCCCUCCCCUUACGGUGGCCGAAAGGCCGAAGUAGGGCGGACGGGGUAGGAUGGGUGUUGCUGCCUGGGGAUUGUACCAGGCUCGCCCGAAAUGCAUAAGCGCCAGGACCCUCGCUACCGCUCUCUAGGGAAGAGUGGCUAAGCGACCGCUGAGCAUGGCAUGAUACGUCAUUUGCUGUGUGUGGGCGGCCGGUUGGAGAGGUGUCUGCUUUAACAGCCCUUUUUAAUUCUGGUCUCAAAUCAGGUAGGAUCACCCGCUGAACUUAAGCAUAUCAAUAAGCGGAGGA
Molecule: unclassified non-coding RNA, 365 nt
Filed under: Malassezia sp.
Lineage: Eukaryota; Fungi; Basidiomycota; Malasseziomycetes; Malasseziales; Malasseziaceae
Description: partial contains 5.8S ribosomal RNA, internal transcribed spacer 2, and large subunit ribosomal RNA
Rfam family: 5.8S ribosomal RNA (bases 1-71)
Source: RNAcentral